UGCGUCUUCCUCACCAUGCACAGUUACUCUUCUCACUCUCAAUCCAUUCAUAUUGAAAAUGAUGAGUAGUGACUGAUGAGGCACAAUCAGCCAA
RNAcentral lists this microRNA precursor (94 nucleotides) under Myotis lucifugus (little brown bat). Its description in RNAcentral is "miRNA (ENSMLUG00000030764.1)". Lineage: Eukaryota; Metazoa; Chordata; Mammalia; Chiroptera; Vespertilionidae. The record is from RNAcentral.